GAUGAACGCUGGCGGCGUGCCUAAUACAUGCAAGUCGAGCGAACGGACGAGAAGCUUGCUUCUCUGAUGUUAGCGGCGGACGGGCGAGUAACACGUGGAUAACCUACCUAUAAGACUGGGAUAACUUCGGGAAACCGGAGCUAAUACCGGAUAAUAUUUUGAACCGCAUGGUUCAAAAGUGAAAGACGGUCUUGCUGUCACUUAUAGAUGGAUCCGCGCUGCAUUAGCUAGUUGGUAAGGUAACGGCUUACCAAGGCAACGAUGCAUAGCCGACCUGAGAGGGUGAUCGGCCACACUGGAACUGAGACACGGUCCAGACUCCUACGGGAGGCAGCAGUAGGGAAUCUUCCGCAAUGGGCGAAAGCCUGACGGAGCAACGCCGCGUGAAUGAUGAAGGUCUUCGGAUCGUAAAACUCUGUUAUUAGGGAAGAACAUAUGUGUAAGUAACUGUGCACAUCUUGACGGUACCUAAUCAGAAAGCCACGGCUAACUACGUG
This 497-nucleotide ribosomal RNA is filed under the name uncultured bacterium. Its description in RNAcentral is "partial 16S ribosomal RNA". It matches the Rfam family "Bacterial small subunit ribosomal RNA", at positions 28 to 507 of the family's 1533-position model. The record is from RNAcentral.